AUUGAACGCUGGCGGCAUGCCUUACACAUGCAAGUCAAACGGCAGCACGGGAGCAAUCCUGGUGGCGAGUGGCGAACGGGUGAGUAAUGUAUCGGAACGUGCCCAGUCGUGGGGGAUAACGUAGCGAAAGCUACGCUAAUACCGCAUACGAUCUAUGGAUGAAAGCGGGGGAUCGCAAGACCUCGCGCGAUUGGAGCGGCCGAUAUCAGAUUAGGUAGUUGGUGGGGUAAAGGCUCACCAAGCCGACGAUCUGUAGCUGGUCUGAGAGGACGACCAGCCACACUGGGACUGAGACACGGCCCAGACUCCUACGGGAGGCAGCAGUGGGGAAUUUUGGACAAUGGGCGCAAGCCUGAUCCAGCAAUGCCGCGUGCAGGAUGAAGGCCUUCGGGUUGUAAACUGCUUUUGUACGGAACGAAACGGCGAGCUCUAAUACAGUUUGCUAAUGACGGUACCGUAAGAAUAAGCACCGGCUAACUACGUGCCAGCAGCCGCAGUAA
This 500-nucleotide ribosomal RNA is filed under the name uncultured bacterium. RNAcentral describes it as "partial 16S ribosomal RNA". It matches the Rfam family "Bacterial small subunit ribosomal RNA", at positions 30 to 523 of the family's 1533-position model. The record is from RNAcentral.